RNAcentral lists this unclassified non-coding RNA (405 nucleotides) under soil metagenome. Its description in RNAcentral is "partial contains 5.8S ribosomal RNA, internal transcribed spacer 2, and large subunit ribosomal RNA". The stretch from base 1 to 121 matches the Rfam family "5.8S ribosomal RNA", at positions 35 to 154 of the family's 154-position model. The record is from RNAcentral.
GAUGAAGAACGCAGCGAAAUGCGAUAAGUAAUGUGAAUUGCAGAAUUCAGUGAAUCAUCGAAUCUUUGAACGCACCUUGCGCCCUUUGGCCAUUCCGAAGGGCAUGCCUGUUUGAGUAUCAUGAACACCUCAACUCUUCAUGGUUUUCCGUGAUGAGCUUGGACUUUGGGGGUCUUGCUGGCCUAUGGUCAGCUCCUCUAAAAUAAAUCAGCUUGCCAGUGUUUGGUGGGUAUCACAGGUGUGAUAACUAUCUACGCUUGUGGUUUUCCACCAGGUAACCUUCAGCAGUGGAGGUUCGCUGGAGCUCACAGAUGUGUCUCUCCUCAGUGAGGACAGCUCUCUGAAUGUUUGAUCUCAAAUCAGGUAGGACUACCCGCUGAACUUAAGCAUAUCAUAAGCGGAGGA